RNAcentral lists this ribosomal RNA (492 nucleotides) under Triticum aestivum (bread wheat). Its description in RNAcentral is "partial small subunit ribosomal RNA". Lineage: Eukaryota; Viridiplantae; Streptophyta; Magnoliopsida; Poales; Poaceae. The record is from RNAcentral.
AUGGGAGGGAGCAGCAAGAAACGUGGUGGGCAGCGCGGCGAGGGCGACGCGGAGAACCCGGCGGCGGAGGGGGGCAGCGCGCUGCCGAUGGCCAACGUCGUGCGCCUGAUGAGGCGGGUGCUGCCGUCGAACGUCAAGAUCGCCGAGACUGCGAAGCAGCUCACCCACGACUGCGCGGUCGAGUUCGUCGGCUUCGUCGGCGGCGAGGCGUCCGAGCGGGCCAGGUCGGAGCACCGCCGCACCGUCGCGCCGGAGGACUUCACCUGGUCCUGCCAGAACCUCGGGUUCGACAGCUACGUCCAGCCCAUGGAGACCUACCUCCGCGGCUACCGCGAGUACGACAUCGCCCGUGGCAGGAGCAGCCGCGGGGCGCGCCCUCCUGCGCCGCCGGCGAUGGCAUCGUUCCUACCGCCUGGACAGCCAGUGACGGUCACCGAAGAGGAGCUGGAGUUCCUGCGGUCGGUGGUCCCUCCGCCGCCGGAAGGAUAUUAG